RNAcentral lists this ribosomal RNA (2063 nucleotides) under Staphylococcus aureus. Its description in RNAcentral is "partial 23S ribosomal RNA". It matches the Rfam family "Bacterial large subunit ribosomal RNA", at positions 1 to 2062 of the family's 2925-position model. Lineage: Bacteria; Bacillati; Bacillota; Bacilli; Caryophanales; Staphylococcaceae. The record is from RNAcentral.
GAUUAAGUUAUUAAGGGCGCACGGUGGAUGCCUUGGCACUAGAAGCCAAUGAAGGACGUUACUAACGACGAUAUGCUUUGGGGAGCUGUAAGUAAGCUUUGAUCCAGAGAUUUCCGAAUGGGGAAACCCAGCAUGAGUUAUGUCAUGUUAUCGAUAUGUGAAUACAUAGCAUAUCAGAAGGCACACCCGGAGAACUGAAACAUCUUAGUACCCGGAGGAAGAGAAAGAAAAUUCGAUUCCCUUAGUAGCGGCGAGCGAAACGGGAAGAGCCCAAACCAACAAGCUUGCUUGUCGGGGUUGUAGGACACUCUAUACGGAGUUACAAAGGACGACAUUAGACGAAUCAUCUGGAAAGAUGAAUCAAAGAAGGUAAUAAUCCUGUAGUCGAAAAUGUUGUCUCUCUUGAGUGGAUCCUGAGUACGACGGAGCACGUGAAAUUCCGUCGGAAUCUGGGAGGACCAUCUCCUAAGGCUAAAUACUCUCUAGUGACCGAUAGUGAACCAGUACCGUGAGGGAAAGGUGAAAAGCACCCCGGAAGGGGAGUGAAAUAGAACCUGAAACCGUGUGCUUACAAGUAGUCAGAGCCCGUUAAUGGGUGAUGGCGUGCCUUUUGUAGAAUGAACCGGCGAGUUACGAUUUGAUGCAAGGUUAAGCAGUAAAUGUGGAGCCGUAGCGAAAGCGAGUCUGAAUAGGGCGUUUAGUAUUUGGUCGUAGACCCGAAACCAGGUGAUCUACCCUUGGUCAGGUUGAAGUUCAGGUAACACUGAAUGGAGGACCGAACCGACUUACGUUGAAAAGUGAGCGGAUGAACUGAGGGUAGCGGAGAAAUUCCAAUCGAACCUGGAGAUAGCUGGUUCUCUCCGAAAUAGCUUUAGGGCUAGCCUCAAGUGAUGAUUAUUGGAGGUAGAGCACUGUUUGGACGAGGGGCCCCUCUCGGGUUACCGAAUUCAGACAAACUCCGAAUGCCAAUUAAUUUAACUUGGGAGUCAGAACAUGGGUGAUAAGGUCCGUGUUCGAAAGGGAAACAGCCCAGACCACCAGCUAAGGUCCCAAAAUAUAUGUUAAGUGGAAAAGGAUGUGGCGUUGCCCAGACAACUAGGAUGUUGGCUUAGAAGCAGCCAUCAUUUAAAGAGUGCGUAAUAGCUCACUAGUCGAGUGACACUGCGCCGAAAAUGUACCGGGGCUAAACAUAUUACCGAAGCUGUGGAUUGUCCUUUGGACAAUGGUAGGAGAGCGUUCUAAGGGCGUUGAAGCAUGAUCGUAAGGACAUGUGGAGCGCUUAGAAGUGAGAAUGCCGGUGUGAGUAGCGAAAGACGGGUGAGAAUCCCGUCCACCGAUUGACUAAGGUUUCCAGAGGAAGGCUCGUCCGCUCUGGGUUAGUCGGGUCCUAAGCUGAGGCCGACAGGCGUAGGCGAUGGAUAACAGGUUGAUAUUCCUGUACCACCUAUAAUCGUUUUAAUCGAUGGGGGGACGCAGUAGGAUAGGCGAAGCGUGCGAUUGGAUUGCACGUCUAAGCAGUAAGGCUGAGUAUUAGGCAAAUCCGGUACUCGUUAAGGCUGAGCUGUGAUGGGGAGAAGACAUUGUGUCUUCGAGUCGUUGAUUUCACACUGCCGAGAAAAGCCUCUAGAUAGAAAAUAGGUGCCCGUACCGCAAACCGACACAGGUAGUCAAGAUGAGAAUUCUAAGGUGAGCGAGCGAACUCUCGUUAAGGAACUCGGCAAAAUGACCCCGUAACUUCGGGAGAAGGGGUGCUCUUUAGGGUUAACGCCCAGAAGAGCCGCAGUGAAUAGGCCCAAGCGACUGUUUAUCAAAAACACAGGUCUCUGCUAAACCGUAAGGUGAUGUAUAGGGGCUGACGCCUGCCCGGUGCUGGAAGGUUAAGAGGAGUGGUUAGCUUCUGCGAAGCUACGAAUCGAAGCCCCAGUAAACGGCGGCCGUAACUAUAACGGUCCUAAGGUAGCGAAAUUCCUUGUCGGGUAAGUUCCGACCCGCACGAAAGGCGUAACGAUUUGGGCACUGUCUCAACGAGAGACUCGGUGAAAUCAUAGUACCUGUGAAGAUGC